This 482-nucleotide ribosomal RNA is filed under the name uncultured bacterium. RNAcentral's name for it is "partial 16S ribosomal RNA". It matches the Rfam family "Bacterial small subunit ribosomal RNA", at positions 30 to 507 of the family's 1533-position model. The record is from RNAcentral.
AUUGAACGCUGGCGGCAUGCCUUACACAUGCAAGUCGAACGGUAACAGGUCUUCGGAUGCUGACGAGUGGCGCACGGGUGCGUAAUACAUCGGAACGUGCCCGAUCGUGGGGGAUAACGAGGCGAAAGCUUUGCUAAUACCGCAUACGAUCUACGGAUGAAAGCGGGGGAUCUUCGGACCUCGCGCGGACGGAGCGGCCGAUGGCAGAUUAGGUAGUUGGUGGGAUAAAAGCUUACCAAGCCGACGAUCUGUAGCUGGUCUGAGAGGAUGAUCAGCCACACUGGGACUGAGACACGGCCCAGACUCCUACGGGAGGCAGCAGUGGGGAAUUUUGGACAAUGGGCGAAAGCCUGAUCCAGCCAUGCCGCGUGUAGGAUGAAGGCCUUCGGGUUGUAAACUGCUUUUGUACGGAACGAAAAGCCUCUUUCUAAUAAAGAGAGGUCAUGACGGUACCGUAAGAAUAAGCACCGGCUAACUACGUG